Molecule: long non-coding RNA, 429 nt
Organism: Nerophis ophidion (straightnose pipefish)
Lineage: Eukaryota; Metazoa; Chordata; Actinopteri; Syngnathiformes; Syngnathidae
Exons: 2
Source: RefSeq, a predicted model, not a curated record
UCUGCGUGCAACAUCCAUACCCUCCUGUCCGCAGGUGUGAACACUUUGUCAAAACGUGUUCCGCGAUCGACUCCACCUGAGUGUACUUUCAGGAGACCUUUUCUUCUUCGGCACAUCAUGAUAAUAUUUCCAGCUAACGAAAAAAGGUCUGCUGCUGCAGGGUAUCUGCCAGCUGCUGACUCCCACAUGUUGUGCAAUGAUGUUAUUUUCCCUCUCUCUCCUGGAAAAUCACCGCCAUGCACAUGGACUUCACAAUGAAAGACAGACUAAGAAGGGUAUUUUCCCCGGGUAUUAUCCCCUUUUUCUGAUUAAUUCUCACUGGCUGCCAGCAAAUAUACACUUUUUUGUUGUAAAGAGGAAGCGCUUUAAGAAGAGAACGCGUGUUAUGUUGGGAAAUUCAGUGUCAAAAGUAAAAUAUUGCGGUAAUCA